RNAcentral lists this ribosomal RNA (496 nucleotides) under uncultured bacterium. Its description in RNAcentral is "bacterial SSU rRNA". It matches the Rfam family "Bacterial small subunit ribosomal RNA", at positions 29 to 519 of the family's 1533-position model. The record is from RNAcentral.
AACGAACGCUGGCGGCGCGCCUAAUACAUGCAAGUCGAGCGAGAAGACGUAGCAAUACGUUUGUAAAGCGGCGAACGGGUGAGGAAUACAUGGGUAACCUACCCUCGAGUGGGGAAUAACUAGCCGAAAGGUUAGCUAAUACCGCGUACGCUCCUUGGACUUCGGUUCAUGGAGGAAAGCGAUACCGUGGGUAUCGCGCUCUUGGAUGGGCUCAUGUCCUAUCAGCUUGUGGUGAGGUAACGGCUCACCAAGGCUUCAACGGGUAGCUGGUCUGAGAGGACGAUCAGCCACACUGGCACUGCGACACGGGCCAGACUCCUACGGGAGGCAGCAGUAAGGAAUAUUGCGCAAUGGGCGAAAGCCUGACGCAGCGACGCCGCGUGGGGGAUGAAGGUCUUCGGAUUGUAAACCCCUUUCGGGAGGGAAGAUGGAACGAGCAAUCGUUCGGACGGUACCUCCAGAAGCAGCCACGGCUAACUUCGUGCCAGCAGCCGCC